UAGUUUCCGGUUCCGGUUGGAGCGAGCGGCCGCAUCUACACUUCGGUCCGCAGACCAUACAAACGCUCCACACCGCGUGGCCGCGGCCACCCUAAUCUGGUGGUCCCAGCGCGCACGACCCACGUGGAGUUCCUGGUCUCCGGUAGCCUCUGGAACUGCCGAUCUGCGGCCAACAAGGCAGAGUUCAUCUCAGCCUAUGCCUCCCUCCAGUCCCUCGACUUCCUGGCACUGACGGAAACAUGGAUCACCACAGAUAACACUGCUACUCCUACUGCUCUCUCUUCGUCCGCCCACGUGUUCUCGCACACCCCGAGAGCUUCUGGUCAGCGGGGUGGUGGCACCGGGAUCCUCAUCUCUCCCAAGUGAUGAAAUCUCGCUUCUUGUGACGGCCGGCCGCCCAACAACCUGCCCGCUCGACCCUAUCCCCUCCUCUCUCCUCCAGACCAUUUCCGGGGACCUUCUCCCUUACCUCACCUCGCUCAUCAACUCAUCCCUGACCGCCGGCUACGUCCCUUCCGUCUUCAAGAGAGCGAGAGUUGCACCCCUUCUGAAGAAACCUACACUCGAUCCCUCCGAUGUCAACAACUACAGACCAGUAUCCCUUCUUUCUUUUCUCUCCAAAACUCUUGAACGUGCCGUCCUUGGCCAGCUC
Molecule: long non-coding RNA, 652 nt
Organism: Oncorhynchus masou masou (cherry salmon)
Lineage: Eukaryota; Metazoa; Chordata; Actinopteri; Salmoniformes; Salmonidae
Exons: 3
Source: RefSeq, a predicted model, not a curated record